CCACAUCUGCAUUUAAAUCGUCAAACAAAUGCUCCUAUUGCAAAGAAAUAGACUUCAGGGCUGAGAGCGACACAAAGAGCCGUGGCUGGACUGUUGUGAGCGACAAAGCGCACGUCUUUCUGCUACCACACAACCUUCAGUGAAACAUUUCUGUAUUGCUUUUCCAGUGAGUGAAUGCCCACCCCCCUGCUAGUAGCCGAGUGCUCCAUUUCACCUAUAUUUUCCCUACCACUUGCUAAAGCCGUGAUCCAGACUAAGCUGGUUUGCACUGCCUGUGACAGGAUGUUAGCUAUCGAGAGGCUGCGUGCAUUAACUGCCAGAACAGAUGAGUGCUUUAACACUUACAAAUCACGGGGAGAAAAGAAUAGAGCAAGAGGAGAUCAUUCACGUGUCGCUCGUUUAGAUAUGCUGAUACCUUAUCAGCUCGCCACAGCCCAGCCAGAUGUGGAGGUGAGCAGAAUUCAAGCACAAAGCUUUCUGCAAAGGGGAGGCGAACGCCGCUGAGUGCAGCAGGAGCUCUCAGAGGUGCUCAGCUCGAGCACCACACAAAUUCCAGCCGUCAAAACCCUCCAUCAUAUAUGGAAAUUAAAUCUCAAUCCUCUGGUGAAAAAAACAUAGGAGGGUCAGGGCAGGAACAACUUCCUUGAUUCAGUGCAGGCGGAGAGCUCGCCUUGUUACUCACAUUCCUUAAUGGCAAUCCGUUACUGGGAAGUGACAUGAGUUCUGCUUAAUCCCCGUUUUGCUGCAUAUUGCUAUUUGUGCACAUAGGAAUUUCCAUUUGUUUCAGCCCUCCGCAAGGUUAUUCAAGGGACAGUGCAAAAAAAAAAACUCAGAAGAGGGCUGAGAGAUUAUUCUUCCAAGAGCUCCCUUGUAGUAAGGGAAAAUAAUAUCUGUAUCUCGUUUAUGGACUAGAUAAAGGCAGAGGUUUCCCAUACACAUUAACGUUAGUUUAAAUGCAUAUGGUUACUUAACACUUGAGGAAACACCUCCUAUAUACAAACAAAAGUGUGAAAGAUUUAGGACAGCUGUGCAUCUGUUUAUCCAUAACAUAUACACUAUUAUCUGACUGGGGGCAAGCAGACAUUUUAACCUCUCCUUCAGCACCUGAUGUAUCAUCCCCUUCAUGCUGAAGCUCCUCCUGCAACUGCUCACAGACUGCAGAGCUGGAAGGUAUCACCACGCAUCCAGCACAGAGUUGCGCCGCGUCCUGGAGCUCUGGCACAAGCAGUUACGCACCAGAACUGUCAACAUGUCUCCACUUUGAACAGGUAAGAACCGCUAAAGCUGCCCUGAUGUAGCUACUGUAGAAUUAGCUCUCUGGUGUUUUAGGGAAAUAUUGCAGACAUGUUUUUAUGUAAGUAAGUCUGUGCAUGGUGUAGAAAGUCAAAUGCUUGUUCCAGCUCUGCUGUUAGGCUGUAGUUGCAGAGGUGUGGGAUUUUAUCGGACAAAAAUCAUAAGUGAUCUUCAACCUGACUUAAGCUAAGUUUGCCUGUCCACUUGCUAAUGACAGCUUGGUAUUGCAGCAGUUUCCUGCUCUGCUUUUAC
Molecule: long non-coding RNA, 1545 nt
Filed under: Gallus gallus (chicken)
Lineage: Eukaryota; Metazoa; Chordata; Aves; Galliformes; Phasianidae
Source: RNAcentral